This 72-nucleotide transfer RNA is filed under the name Ovis aries (sheep). It matches the Rfam family "tRNA". Rfam says of the family: Transfer RNA (tRNA) molecules are approximately 80 nucleotides in length. Lineage: Eukaryota; Metazoa; Chordata; Mammalia; Artiodactyla; Bovidae. The record is from Rfam by way of RNAcentral.
UCCUUGGUGGCUUAGAGGUUAAAGCGUCUGCCUGCAAUGCGGGAGAUCCGGGUUCGAUCCCUGGAUCAGGAA